Molecule: small RNA, 36 nt
Filed under: Arabidopsis thaliana (thale cress)
Lineage: Eukaryota; Viridiplantae; Streptophyta; Magnoliopsida; Brassicales; Brassicaceae
Description: ATSL067900
Source: RNAcentral
GAUGAGUAUGCAGAAACGGACCAUGACUCUAGUUGC